Molecule: ribosomal RNA, 497 nt
Filed under: uncultured bacterium
Lineage: Bacteria
Description: partial 16S ribosomal RNA
Rfam family: Bacterial small subunit ribosomal RNA
Source: RNAcentral
GACGAACGCUGGCGGCGUGCCUAAUACAUGCAAGUUGAGCGCUGAAGGUUGGUACUUGUACCAACUGGAUGAGCAGCGAACGGGUGAGUAACGCGUGGGGAAUCUGCCUUUGAGCGGGGGACAACAUUUGGAAACGAAUGCUAAUACCGCAUAAAAACUUUAAACACAAGUUUUAAGUUUGAAAGAUGCAAUUGCAUCACUCAAAGAUGAUCCCGCGUUGUAUUAGCUAGUUGGUGAGGUAAAGGCUCACCAAGGCGAUGAUACAUAGCCGACCUGAGAGGGUGAUCGGCCACAGUGGGACUGAGACACGGCCCAAACUUCUACGGGAGGCAGCAGGAGGGAAUCUUCGGCAAUGGACGAAAGUCUGACCGAGCAACGCCGCGUGAGUGAAGAAGGUUGUCGGAUCGUAAAACUCUGUUGGUAGAGAAGAACGUUGGUGAGAGUGGAAAGCUCAUCAAGUGACGGUAACUACCCAGAAAGGGACGGCUAACUACGUG